This 497-nucleotide ribosomal RNA is filed under the name uncultured bacterium. Its description in RNAcentral is "partial 16S ribosomal RNA". It matches the Rfam family "Bacterial small subunit ribosomal RNA", at positions 28 to 507 of the family's 1533-position model. The record is from RNAcentral.
GAUGAACGCUGGCGGCGUGCCUAAUACAUGCAAGUCGAGCGAACGGACGAGAAGCUUGCUUUUCUGAUGUUAGCGGCGGACGGGUGAGUAACACGUGGAUAACCUACCUAUAAGACUGGGAUAACUUCGGGAAACCGGAGCUAAUACCGGAUAAUAUUUUGAACCGCAUGGUUCAAAAGUGAAAGACGGUCUUGCUGUCACUUAUAGAUGGAUCCGCGCUGCAUUAGCUAGUUGGUAAGGUAACGGCUUACCAAGGCAACGAUGCAUAGCCGACCUGAAAGGGUGAUCGGCCACACUGGAACUGAGACACGGUCCAGACUCCUACGGGAGGCAGCAGUAGGGAAUCUUCCGCAAUGGGCGAAAGCCUGACGGAGCAACGCCGCGUGAGUGAAGAAGGUCUUCGGAUCGUAAAACUCUGUUAUUAGGGAAGAACAUAUGUGUAAGUAACUGUGCACAUCUUGACGGUACCUAAUCAGAAAGCCACGGCUAACUACGUG